Molecule: RNA transcript, 7458 nt
Organism: Ictalurus furcatus (blue catfish)
Lineage: Eukaryota; Metazoa; Chordata; Actinopteri; Siluriformes; Ictaluridae
Gene name: centrosome-associated protein CEP250
Exons: 39
Source: RefSeq, a predicted model, not a curated record
UUUGUUCACCAGAUUCUUUUUGAUUGGCUUUUUAGUAGAACUGACUUUGUUUUCCUCCUCUGCAGGAAAACAUCACUCAGUUUCCUGAUGAAUUGGCGCUGCUGUGGAAGAUGUGUUCAGGCGUUUUGAUCCGAGGCAGCAGGACGCCACGAGUGAUCGGACACAUCUCUGGACAGUGAAGAAGAAGAAGACUGAUCUCCAUAUGGAAAGGAUGGCCGGUCGGUGCAGAUGCUUUAACCUCCUGACAUGUUUACCACACUUCAGUUGAUCAUUUGGUAACUCCGAGGAUAUUUUACAGGAACGUUUAAGAGAGGCGAAGCCGUCUGCUGAUUUACAUCUGCUCCAGAAUUCUUUAACCUGAGCACGCUCGGAGGAUGGAGACUUGUCAAGAUGACUUGCUCCAGCAGCUUAGAAAACUUUCUCUGUCUGAACAAGAAGCAAAAAUGAAGGUGGAGGAGCGUGAAGCUCAGAUACAGGAGCUACAGGACACGAUCACAGAGCUCCACCAGGAGAUGUCCCUGAAAGACCAGGACAAACUCGGGCAGCUCCAGCAGCUUGUCCAGCUCGAAACCAGGGUCAAGGAGCUCACGCAGGAGUUACAGAGCUCGGCACAGACCAUCGCUCAGCUCAGACACGAGGCCAGAGACGGCGCUGGGAGCAACAGUGUGUUACACAGAGAUGUGUCCGGCGAUCAAACCGCAGCGAGAGGACUAGAACUCUUGAAGAGUGAGUUGACGCAUCGUGACGCGAGCAUCCAGAAGCUCCAGCGAGACCUGCUCCUGUCUCAUCAGGCCCGCGAUUCCCAGAGCGCUCAGCUGGACGUCCAGGAGCAGAGGCUGUGGGAGCUGCAGAGGGAGCUGCAGGAGAAGCAGCAGGAGCUGUGGAGAGGACACGACCGCCUCCAGCAGCUCAGCACCGAGCUCCAGAGCACGACGAGGAACGCUCAAGAGCUGCAGGGUCAGGUUGAGAAGCUCAGUGCUGAGCUGUCCUCCAUACAGAGAGGAAGUGAAGAACAACAGGAGACUCAGAGGAAGUUCAGGGAGCUUCAGGCAGAGCUCUCGGCCACUCGGGCCCGGCUCAGCGACUGCCAGGACGGGAAACGGGAGGCCCUGAAGAGGGCAGACGAACAGAUCCAGCAGCUGCAGGAGGAGGUGUCCAGGCUGAAGCUGCAGCACCAAUGCGUCAGUCAGCAACAGCAGGAGCGCAGCGCGGAGCUGCGGAGUCUCCAGAAGGCCCACGCCGAGCUGCAGGUCCGAGACGACGAGUGCCGGAGAGAGCUGAGCCGAAUCAGAGACGAGCUACACAACGCCACCCUGAGGGUAGAAGAGCAGCGUCUGAAAGAGGUCCAGAUUGAUGAGCUCCAGCGAGAGGUUGACAGGAUGCUGGCACUGCUGGAGAAAGACAGAGAGGACGGCGGUCAGGAGGAGGAGGCGGAGAGACUGAAGGACGAACAGCGGCGUCUCAAGGACAAGCUCGACGAGCGCGAGGACAGCGUAGCCGCUCUGAGCCUGGAGGCGGAGUUUCUGAGACGGAAAGCGCGUGCCAGCGAAGAGGAGGCGGCCGAGCUGUGCCGGCAGCUCAUCGCCUCCCAGGAUGCACUGCAGCGGGUGACUGGUGAGCUCAGGAGCUGCCAGAGAGAGCUCCGAGAACGGGAGGCUCAGAGAGGAGAAGAGGAAGAGAGAGGGGUGGAGCUCAAGGCUGAACUGAAUCAGCUGCAGCACCAGUACACCACCUGCUACUCACAGCUGGUGGAGGACGAAGCGUUGGUGUCCAGGUUGAGGACUGAGCUACAGCAGGCUGAAGGACAGAGGGACACACUGGUGUCUCAGCUGCAAGAGCAGCAUCAUCAGCUCCAUCUGCUCACAGAGAAACACCGCACAGCUCAGAAGGAGGUGGCCUGCAGAGAUGAUGCGGUGCUGAAGUUAACGGCCGAGCUGAGCGCUGUUCAGGAACAUCUGACCUCUACGCACAAUGAGCUCGCAGGCCAGGUUCAGGAGGUGAACUCUAAAGCUGAGGAGGUCACGACCUUGGAGGAGGAAGUGCGAAGCUUACAGAAGCUCCUGAAUCAGAGGGACGAGACGCUCGAGGAGGAAAAAGGCAGAAACGUCCAGCUUCAGGUCGAGAAAGAAAAUCUUCACGCGCGGUGCGAGAGCCAGCGGGAGGCGCUGUGCGAACUCCGUGCCGAGGUACAGAAGUGGCAGCAGGAGGCGCAGGGCCAAAGGGAGAGCAAGGAGAAGGAGGUGCAGGCGCUGAGGAGUGAGCUGCGGGAGGAGCAGAGUCGCCUCCACCAGCACAGAUCCAGUCUGGAGCGCCUGCACAGAGAGCUGGAGUCGACGCAGAGACAGCAGAGAGACGCCAAGGACGAGGUCUGCCGUAAGGAAGCAGCUCUGCGCUCUCAGGACUCGGAGAUGACUCGGGUGAAGGCGGAGCUACUCGAGGCUCGAAGAUCGGCGUCGGACGCCGAGGCCCGGCUACAGCCGCUCGGCGAGUCCGUGCAGCUUUACAAGCAGAAAUACCAGACCUGUGUGAGCAAGAUCGCAGAGCUGGAGAGCACGCUGCAGAGCCACGAGGAGGACCGGAGGCAGAGCAGAGCCCAGGUGGUUGAGCGGGAGGAGCAGGUGGCGCGUCUGCAGGCGGAGAUCGUGGCUCUACGGGGCGACGUGGAGGCGCGCUGUGCUCAGCUGGAGAGCGGAGACGAGGCCCUGACCGCUCUGAGCCGGCGGCUGAGAGACGCGCAGAGGGAGCUGGAGCUAAGCCACGCCCACGCGCAGGAGUGUGAGCUGGUCAUCGACGCACUCCGAGACAACAUGGCCGCCCUGCGCAGUCAGGUGGAAGAGAAGGACGAGGCGGCGCUGAAGCUCCAGUCUGAUUUCUCUCUCUACAGAGCGACUCACACGCGCUCCGAGUCAGACUGCGAAUCCCUCGUUUGUCGCGUCCGCGAACUGGAACAGGCGUUGUCCCAGGCCCUGGAGCGCUCUGGAACCUGUCACUCAGAGCUGGAGAAGCUGAAAGAGGAAGCCCAGGCGCAGAAGCGGCUCAGAGAUGGCAGCCUGGCGGAGGUGCGAAGGCUGCAGGAGUUGAUGAGGAAGCUCCAGGCUGAUGCUGUGUGUGAGGCUCAGAGCAGACAGGCUGACGUGGACGCUCUGGAGCUCAGAGUCAACGAACUGGAGGAACAACUCGAGGCGGCUCGUAGGCAUUGUGUACAGAAGGAGCAGGCCGUGCAGAAAAGAGACGCGCUCCUGAGGCAGUCGGAGGCAGACCUGGUCCAGGCGCGAGAUAAGAUCCGAGGCAAGGCGGCGGAGGCAGAGAGGCACGCCGCCACCAUUCAGGCUCUACAGGCAGACCUCCGGCAAGCCAAGAAAGAGAAGCGAGAGAGGGAGAACGAGUGCGGCAAGCUCCGCACGCAGCUGCUGCAGAUCCGCGACGAUCUGAAGGAGGCCCGGGGCAGCUGCAGAGACAGCGCUCAGGAACUGGCUCGUCACGAGGAGAAGGUGCUACUGCUGGAGGGCGGGCAUCAGCGAGCGCAGGAGCAGCUGGCGGAGCGAGUAGCCGAGGUGGUCCGGGCUGAGCAGAUCCAGAGGAGACUUCAUGCCGACCUCAGGAGAGUCCAACAAAGACUGGAAUCCAGCGAGCAGGAGCUCCACGACUGCAGGACUCAGGUGGAACAGGUGAAACUGGAGGCCAGCAGCAGCAGGCAGGCUCAGCUCAGCACCCAGCACGAGGCUUUACGGCUGCAGCAGGAGAACCAGGAGCUCCAGGACGAGCUGAGCAGCACCAAAGAGACCGUUACACACAUGCAGGAGCAGCUGAGGGAACAGUCAGUGAUGGCUCAGGCUCUGCGUGUGGAGCUGGCACAGGAGCAGGCCCGGCAGCAGGAACAGCUGGAUUGGGUACAGAGGACACGUCAGAGAGAGGACAGCCUGGAGGCUGAGAGAGAUCAGCUCAGAACUGACCUAGAAACAGUCAGAAACCAGCUGCAGGAGCGGGUGUGUGAGCUACACAGCGCCACCCUCAGGCUGCAGGAGGAAGAGGCGGACAAGCGGACGCAGCUGCAGGAGAGAGACGCUCGCAUCCAGACUUUCAGCCAAGAGCAGGCUGAGCGUAGUCAGGAGAUGACACGCUUGCAGCAGCGGCUGAUCCAGCGGGAAGAGAGAAACACAGAGCUGAGUACAGAGCUGCAGCAGCUGCGCAGUCAGAGCCGCCUCUCUCAGGACGAGACUCGGGCGUUUGAGGGGCGUCUGGCGGAGUUAAACGGCCAGCUGGCGCGCUCUCAGCUCUGGGGUCAGCAGCAGCUCGUCACCCUGCAGUCCAGAGAGGAAGAACUGGUGCUCCUGAAGGUGGAGGUAGCCUCCCUCAGAGAGAACUACCGCUCCAAAGUAGCUCAGUUGGACACGUUACACACUGAGCUGGACUCUUUAGAACAGAAGUACAGGGCCGCUGUGAGUGAGGUGGAGGUGUUGAGGCAGGCGUUGGGCGACGCCCGUACUGAUAGUUCCCGUCUGCACCGAGAGAGCGAGCUGGUGGUCACCAACGUCAACCAGUGGGUCAAAGAGCAAAAGCAGGCCAACGAGAAGCUCGGCCUCAAGAUCAGAGACCAGAGCAAGAAGAUCAUCCACCUCACAGCUGAAAAAGAUCAUCUGCAGGAGAACUUGGAGAAGCUGCAGGCGGAGAUCCGGUGGCUGAGGGCGGAGCUCGAUGAGCAAAGAAUGGAGGCAGAGAGAUGCAAGGCGUUUCAGACCCAGAGCGUGAGUGAGCCGCUGCACAGCCGUCAGCCUCCUGCACUUCUGUGCUACAGAGAGCUCAUUACACCCGAGGAAGCUGAUGAUCUCCGCUGUGACAUUUGACUGUUUGCACUUGUGUCCAGCAGUGACGUGGCCUCAGGGGCUACACGAGAUCCAGAGAGCUGCAGGGAGGUAAAGAGGCAGGGCAGGCUAGCAGACAAACCAAACCAUGCUGGAAGGAUCGGGAAUCUUCAGCCCUCCGCGGGAGAACGUGAGCAGGAAGAAGCCUCUGGCGGUGCGGCCGGAGCGGAGCUGAGGUGCGUGUGCAGAGCCACGCCCGGAUCCAGUUUCGCCGCUGAAGUGGCCCGGCGAGUCGCUCGAAGGGCACUGGAGAGAAGAGCCCUGCGCAGGGCACACGGCUGGGAGUUUACACCACAGCGCUCACUGAAUGUACAACAUCUCAGGGCUUCUCUGUGACACUGAGACUCUUUCUAAAGUAAUACAGGAUUGAUGGAGAAAAGAUCUGAAUAGAACUGAUGGAGAAUUGGGUUUGUUUAUACCUCUGUUUAUUUUAUAAACCUGUUAAACUUGAAUAAUAUCAUGAUGCGUUAUGAUAGAUGAUAUAAGAUAAUGGCGUUUUUUCUUUAGCGGCGAAAAAACGAGCGUGGUUUUCAUUCUUCAGAACGGCAGGCGCCCGAGUGUCAGUGUGUGUUAAUCAUCUCCAAACUUGUUUUGCUCUGAGGUAAGUGAAGACAUGAGCCGUUAUUGCAGCUUUCUGCGUGUUUGUUCACUGCGGUGAUAUUUAAUGUAAUUUUUUUUUUUGACGUUUGUCAUAAAAUUUUCUCGGAGGCUUCGAGAUGAAAACUUUUCAAACCUGGAGGGAUUUGAAAACCUUUAGGGAAGGAUUUUUCUUUUUUAUUUUUAAACACAUCUAGUGUCUGUUUUUACGUCUGAUCUUUUUUUUGUUUGUUUCUUUGAACAUAAAUCCGACAGUUUGUGUGAAGUUACCGGUGUUUCGUGUGACAUUUUGUUUGUUCACGUAACUGUAGUGUGUAAAGCGUGUCAUAUUUGUGACGAAUCAUGUGUCGAUCGUUUAUAUUUACAUUAACGUCACGUCACGCUCGAGCUCGAGCCGGGACUGCCCCGUAGGCUCGGGGCCUGGGCGAGGCGUAACCACGUGAUCUCCGAGACGUCAUCUCAGCACGAAGACACCGUCCUGCUUUUUUUUUUUUUGCUCUGGCAAAAUCAAUAAACAACAUUCUCUCUCACCCAGCACUCAAUACACAACACUUAAGGUGUCUCUGAAAAGUAAAGAACGCCAAUAAUUGUUAUUAAUGCCCUGAAAUUUCCCAGAGCGCAGCGUUUAAGGCUAAUUCUGUCAUUCUGGGUUACUGUCAAUCCUGUACACUUACUGCGACUUUAAAUGCUACUUCCAAUAAUCAUCAUAACUAUUAUUAUUUAUUAUUAUUGUUAUAACGCAUCCAUCUUGAAUCUGAUGGCGAGUGACAUAUUACGACGUUAUCCCAUUAGUCAUGAGAAUAAAACACUUCAGGAUGUGCUUUUAUAGGAAACUAAUCAACAAUCAGGUUCGUUAUUUUCCUGGAAUAGUUUUCCCCCUGAAGUGUUUUAUUCCUCUUAUACCGCAGCACUUUGCCAGCGAUGACAUCUUUCGAUUAAAGACACGUCGUACGUUUUGUGCGUUUAUAGUUCAACGUGCGUUAAAGUUCCCUGAAACGACUUGGUUCCUGGUAAACGGCGUGUUCUCUCACCGGGCCCCUUUUUUUUAAAUUAUUAUUUAUUUAUUUUUUCAUUUUUACUCCUCCGUCCUGAAGAUGUCGGAAAACGUAGUUACAGCUUCAGCGCCGACGCUGGAGAACUCCUUACAGAUCGACGGAUACGCACAUCCUUUGAUGCGUCUCUAUACAGCGUCCACCGUACAGUUCCCUGCGAAUGAGCCGUUACUGUGUGGAGUUACGUUUGUGCCAAAAGCGUUGGACGUAAAAUAUAGAAAGAAGAGAAAAAAACACUGAAACUGAAAACGCUGAAAUCCGUGGAGACAACGUAACACGGUCUUCAAAUAAACCGGACCUGGAAGUAGACACUUCAAUGGCGUGGAUUUCGGAAGAGCGUUCUGGAUGCGUUUGUACUCUGUAUUGGAAAUCGCUUACUUACUCAGCUAGUAUAUUAUCUUGCAAUUAAUAUUUCUCCAUCGGAAUCUCACUAGCCAAUGAGAGUGAAUCACUGUUAAGCCCCGCCUACACAAACGAAAAAUUUUUUAAAAAGCGUGUCGCAGCGUGUUCAUAAACCACGAUUAGCAAAAAGGAAGCUGUUAACGAAGAACGCUGCUUAUUCGAAGACCAUGCCACGUUUUUGCCACCGAGUUCAUUGUUUUUCUUGGAAAAAAAACAAAAAACGUUACAUUCAAUACUUUUGGGCACAAAUUUAAUUCCAUAAACAAGCACGAAACCAGGAGUUCAGCGGUGCUGUGGUAUAAAUGAAAAUAAUGGUCAGUGCUUUAUGAGGUGAUGAACAAACUGAGAUUCUUAUAGGAGAUAAUCCGGUCCGAGUGAAUGAGCUGAGGGAUAGAGGUGGUGCGCUGGUGAUUUGGGGAUUGAUCACUACCCUUAACCAGGUAAUCUAGUAGUAUGAGAAUGUUUCACGUUUGUGGCCUUUCGCUUCUAGGAAUGUCUUUGCUCAUAAAUGUAUGUGUGUGUGUUUUUUAAAAUAAUUAUUAUUA